Molecule: long non-coding RNA, 3057 nt
Organism: Equus caballus (horse)
Lineage: Eukaryota; Metazoa; Chordata; Mammalia; Perissodactyla; Equidae
Source: Ensembl
GAAGGAAACAUACAUUAAUACCUCAGAAAUGUCUCAGGCCACACCUUUUGCCCGGUUUUGCCUGGGGCCUGUCUCAGCACCAUAAAUGCCUCAUUACAACCCCACCUGGGGCACUCUUCCCAUUUGGACAGCACCGAUCUGCUCCUCUCUGUCCUGGGCAGGAGGCAGCCCCCCUGUCACUGGCUGCAAUGAUCGUAAAUGCCCAGGCCAGGCCAGGCACGUCAGAGCCUCCCCUGGGAGCUGGGGAGUGUUUACACGGCUGGCAGGGAGGCCGGCCUGGGCGUGAGAAGAGGCCUGUUUAGAGCAGAGCGCCCAGAAGGAUUUACGGCGGGCCGGCCGCUGAAAGGGAGCAGUCAUUAAGGAGAGGGGAGGAGAGUCUGCUGCCUUUUUUGGAAAAUGAGGAUAAAAAGAUGUGAAUUUAGUGCUUGUGAGAGGCAGAGGAAAGCCCUGGAAACAGAAGUCCUUAACUUGCCCCAGAGGCACAGGUGGGCCUGGCUGUGACCCUGUGGCCCAAGGUGAGGCCGAGGCCUUGGGGAGAAGCCUACAAGGUGACAGGCCCUGAAGACUCUCCCACAUCUAUUGCGCCACCCCAAAGCCAGCAAGAGAGACAUCUGAUUUUCUGUGCCAUCUGCACUUCAUUUCACCUGUAAAGACCAGCGAGACAAGCUUUUAUUCUUCCCCUUUUAGGAUUUAUUUAAAAAUUCCAAAUAUUCUUGAUGGGUCUUGACCUUACAGUCUAAGGCUUAGAUGGAUAGAUUUUCAUAUGUGCUCCUUGAGAGUACUUACAAACUCUUCCAGAAGCUUUUGUUACUUUUCUGCAUUGGCUUUGCCCCAGUCAUGGGUAGCUAUAUCUGAAAUAAUUUCCCUAAUCAGUUCCUGAAAUUGGAAGAAAAGGGUAGUGGUCAUGUUGUUUGUGUCUUCCCAGCACCCCUUUCUUUGGGAAACUUCCCUCUCUCAUCUGUAUGGUGCUGAUGGUCUGUCAAUCCUGGGACUCUUGUCUCCCUCCAAAAAAAUGAUACCUGACCCAGGGCAGAGAUGGUGAUUGGUCAGGAGUAGACACGUGACUCAGGCUUGGCCAACCACAGGACCACAUCUUCUGGACAUAGUGAUUGGCCUAGGAUGAACACACGACCCGAAAUAGGGCAAACGGAGUUCCUUUGGGAAAUGGAUGCGCAUUAGUUUGAAGAGAGAACUGUUAAGCUGUGCCAUCUGACCUGGCCACAGGAGGGAGCCUGUCUAGAGUAGAAGAGAAUGGAGCCAUGGCACAAGGGAAGAAGACUGGAGACAGGGAGGCAGAGGGAUCCGAGGUCAUCAUUUGUGCACCCUGGGAUGAAGCAGAGCUUGGAGUCAAUUACACCCCUGGACUUUGUAGUUGGGUGAAAUCCCUUUUGAUGUUUAAGCUAUUUUGAGUUGGGUCUCUGUCACUUAUAACCCAAAGUUCCUAAUCCAUUUAGCAAAUGCAUUUUGUAAGAUGGAAGCUAUUUUGUUUAUCCAAAAAGAGCAUUUAAAAUAUUGUUUCUUUCCUUAGUGGCUCUGUCGUUCAUUUGCUUCUCGUGCACCUAACUCGGGUGCUGCCAAGCCUUCCCUAUCUGUCGUGCAGUGUUGAGAGACCAGACUACUGUUGUCCCGCCUGUGCCUGCAGGCCCUCACCCCAGCUCUUUCCGGCCAGCGUACGCAGCUGAGGAGCAGCUUGAGGGAGCCACCCUGUUGCUGAUGGUGAAGGGCCCGUUGUGAGAACGGAAGUCUGUGCCACAGUGCUGUGUCCUGAUGCUCUCAAAGCUGCCUCAGAAUGAUGCAAAAGAAGGGAAGUCAGUCACCUGGAGGCAGUAUGAUGUAGCGGUUGAGGGCAUGGUUUGGGGAGCCAGAGUAGCAGUGGCCCAGUCCCAGAUUCACCACUUACCAGCCGUGCAAGGUUGGCUCCGUUCCCUAGGUUCCAUGUGCCUCAAUAACCUCAUCUGUUCAAUGGGGCUGAUAAGAAUGUCUAUCACAUAGGGCUGGCUGAGGAUUCAAUGGCUUGUUAGUAUUCUGGGGUUCCAUUAGUAACCCAGAGCCCAGAAACAGGACUGCUGAGGCCGGGAGCCUCACUAAAUCUUUCGUGAAAUUCCAGUUCAGCCCUUUCCUAGCUGUGUGCCUUUGGCAAGUCAUUUAAUGUCCCUCAGUGCAGUUUUCCUACCUGAGAAAAGAGGAUGGUAACAACACCUUCCUUAGAAGAGUGUUGAGGACUAAAUGUAAGAGUACUUAAAAUGUGCGUAAUUGUAAACAUACAUAGCAGGUACUCAGGACACAUCGGCUGUCAGGGUGACAGUCGACACAGCUCUUUCCCAACAGACGACAAUAGACCCACCCCAGCCGUCUUUGCAAGGAGCAAGCUUCUCUCACCAUGAGAUGUGGCAAGAGGGGCUUGGCCUGACGUGGGGCGUCAGGAGGCCUGUCCUUGGCACGUUCCCCAAUCCUUACAUUGACAUGCACACACACACACGCGCACAUGUGCACGCGCAUCCACCCCCAGGGGUGCCUUGUGCCGGGGUCCUCUGCCUUUUCAUGGACAAGGGGUGAUUGCUGUGACAACUGGUUCUGAUCUGUCGUAUUUGCCAGUUGCCUAUUUCAAUCCACAUGGAAUAUCCUGAUACUCACAGGCUUUCUUCCUUGCACAGUAUCACGCAACACUCUUUACCUUCCGGUUCAGGAAAUGCAUUUCCUUUUGAGACUUUGCUGUCCUCCAAAUGUAUCUGUUUUGAAGGGUUCAAUUAACUUAUUGUGUGGAAAUAAAUCAAUGUAACUUAUUUUUAUGUAACUGGCUUAAAAACCAUCAAAUUUUACCUUUAACCGACUGUGUUUUCACUCUGAUAACUAUUUGAUAAUUUAAACAUUGUGUAGUUUUAAAUGUCCUACCAUUAUUCCAGGAUGAUUUGGCACAGUAUAUUUUAUUCUGUCUCUCGGAGAAAUGCUGACCCUCUGGAAACAAAUGAUGGUUAAACUUGUAUUUUUUAAAAGAAAACCAAUAGACUUUUUGGUAGUUUUAAAGCAAAAAACAAAUAAAUAUUGAGAUUUUUUACA